RNAcentral lists this ribosomal RNA (1381 nucleotides) under uncultured bacterium. Its description in RNAcentral is "16S ribosomal RNA". It matches the Rfam family "Bacterial small subunit ribosomal RNA", at positions 27 to 1399 of the family's 1533-position model. The record is from RNAcentral.
GAUUGAACGCUGGCGGUAUGCUUAACACAUGCAAGUCGAACGGAAACGAUACUAGCUUGCUAGUAGGCGUCGAGUGGCGGACGGGUGAGUAACGCGUAGGAAUCUGCCUGAUAGUGGGGGAUAGCCCGAAGAAAUUCGGAUUAAUACCGCAUAAUCUAUUCGUAGUAAAGUGGGGGACUUUCGAGCCUCACGCUAUCAGAUGAGCCUGCGUAAGAUUAGCUUGUUGGUAGGGUAAAAGCCUACCAAGGCGACGAUCUUUAGCUGGUCUGAGAGGAUGAUCAGCCACAUCGGGACUGAGACACGGCCCGAACUCCUACGGGAGGCAGCAGUGGGGAAUAUUGGACAAUGGGGGCAACCCUGAUCCAGCAAUACCGCGUGUGUGAAGAAGGCCUGAGGGUUGUAAGGCACUUUCAAUUGUGAAGAAAAGUUAACGGUUAAUAACCGUUAGCCUUGACGUUAACUUUAGAAGAAGCACCGGCUAACUCCGUGCCAGCAGCCGCGGUAAUACGGAGGGUGCAAGCGUUAAUCGGAAUUACUGGGCGUAAAGCGUGCGUAGGCGGUUUAUUAAGUCAGAUGUGAAAGCCCCGGGCUUAACCUGGGAACUGCAUUUGAAACUGGUCAACUAGAGUAUGGUAGAGGAAAGUGGAAUUUCUGGUGUAGCGGUGAAAUGCGUAGAUAUCAGAAGGAACAUCAAUGGCGAAGGCAGCUUUCUGGACCAAUACUGACGCUGAGGUACGAAAGCGUGGGUAGCAAACAGGAUUAGAUACCCUGGUAGUCCACGCCGUAAACGAUGAUAACUAGCCGUUGGGGGGAUUUACCCUUUAGUGGCGAAGCUAACGCGUUAAGUUAUCCGCCUGGGGAGUACGGCCGCAAGGUUAAAACUCAAAGGAAUUGACGGGGACCCGCACAAGCGGUGGAGCAUGUGGUUUAAUUCGAUGCAACGCGAAGAACCUUACCUGGUCUUGACAUCCUGCGAACUUUCUAGAAAUAGAUUGGUGCCUUCGGGAACGCAGUGACAGGUGCUGCAUGGCUGUCGUCAGCUCGUGUCGUGAGAUGUUGGGUUAAGUCCCGUAACGAGCGCAACCCCUAUCCUUAUUUGCCAGCACAUCAUGGUGGGAACUAUAAGGAGACUGCCGGUGAUAAACCGGAGGAAGGCGGGGACGACGUCAAGUCAUCAUGGCCCUUACGACCAGGGCUACACACGUGCUACAAUGGGAAGGACAAAGAGCCGCGAAGCCGCGAGGUGUAGCUAAUCUCAUAAACCUUUUCGUAGUCCGGAUUGGAGUCUGCAACUCGACUCCAUGAAGUCGGAAUCGCUAGUAAUCGUAGAUCAGAAUGCUACGGUGAAUACGUUCCCGGGUCUUGUACUCACCGCCCGUCA